CCUACGGGAGGCAGCAGUAGGGAAUUUUCGGCAAUGGGGGGAACCCUGACCGAGCAACGCCGCGUGAAGGAAGAAGGAAUUCGUUCUGUAAACUUCUGUUAUAAAGGAAGAAAGACGGAUGGAGGAAAUGACAUCCGAGUGACGGUACUUUAUGAGAAAGCCCCGGCAAAGUACGUGCCAGCAGCCGCGGAAAUACGAAGGUGGCAAGCGUUAUCCGGAAUGAUGGGGCGUAAAGAGGGAGCAGGCGGCAGCAACGGUCUGUGGUGAAAGACUGAAGCUAAACUUCAGUAAGCCAUUGAAACCGGGCAACUAGAGUGCAGGAGAGGAUCGCGGAAUUCCAUGUGUAGCGGUGAAAUGCGUAGAUAUAUGGAGGAACACUAGUGGCGAAGGCGACGAUCUGGCCUGCAACUGACGCUCAGUCCCGAAAGCGUGGGGAGCAAAAAGGAUUAGAUACCCUUGUAGUC
RNAcentral lists this ribosomal RNA (464 nucleotides) under uncultured bacterium. RNAcentral's name for it is "partial 16S ribosomal RNA". It matches the Rfam family "Bacterial small subunit ribosomal RNA", at positions 338 to 795 of the family's 1533-position model. The record is from RNAcentral.